GAUGAACGCUGGCGGCGUGCUUAACACAUGCAAGUCGAACGGAAAGGCUCCUGCUUGCAGGGGUACUCGAGUGGCGAACGGGUGAGUAACACGUGGGUGAUCUGCCCUGCACUUCGGGAUAAGCCUGGGAAACUGGGUCUAAUACCGGAUAGGACGAUGGUUUGGAUGCCAUUGUGGAAAGUUUUUCGGUGUGGGAUGAGCUCGCGGCCUAUCAGCUUGUUGGUGGGGUAAUGGCCUACCAAGGCGUCGACGGGUAGCCGGCCUGAGAGGGUGUACGGCCACAUUGGGACUGAGAUACGGCCCAGACUCCUACGGGAGGCAGCAGUGGGGAAUAUUGCACAAUGGGCGCAAGCCUGAUGCAGCGACGCCGCGUGGGGGAUGACGGCCUUCGGGUUGUAAACUCCUUUCGCUAGGGACGAAGCGCAAGUGACGGGACCUGGAGAAGAAGCACCGGCGAACUACGU
RNAcentral lists this ribosomal RNA (464 nucleotides) under uncultured bacterium. RNAcentral's name for it is "partial 16S ribosomal RNA". It matches the Rfam family "Bacterial small subunit ribosomal RNA", at positions 28 to 506 of the family's 1533-position model. The record is from RNAcentral.